AUGUCAAUUGGGGAAAGAUAUGCCCAUCAUCAGUGCACUUUUUGCCAUUUUUUUGCUAUUUUUUUUCUGUUCUAUGUAUACAUGCAGUUUCGACAAUUAGCUGCAACAACUAUUUUUUCUUUUAUUUUGUUGCUAGGGCUUGUGGCCAUACAUGUUAAACAGCAAGACGAUUUAAUUUGUGGUCUAACAAUACGUUUGUUAAUAAUUGCAACAAAAAUAGAUCUACUUUUUGCUAAUAGUGGCCAAAUAAAGGAGGAUCCAGACUAUGACAAGUUUACAUUGUACAGAAUUAGUGCUAACAAUAAAUUUCUCUCUUUUCUUCUUAUUUUAUAUUGA
Molecule: ribosomal RNA, 336 nt
Filed under: Triticum aestivum (bread wheat)
Lineage: Eukaryota; Viridiplantae; Streptophyta; Magnoliopsida; Poales; Poaceae
Description: partial small subunit ribosomal RNA
Source: RNAcentral